Lolium perenne is the source of this 1212-nucleotide long non-coding RNA. RefSeq lists it as uncharacterized. The record is from RefSeq and is a predicted model, not a curated record. NCBI's taxonomy places the organism in Eukaryota, Viridiplantae, Streptophyta, Magnoliopsida, Poales, Poaceae.
CGUCCAGGCCGGGGUGGCUUGAUUGCGAGCGUCUUAAUUGACUGCCCUGGGAGCUAAGCUAAGCCGUUGUUCCGGUGUGGUAUAUAUAGUUGAUUUAGCAAGUCUAAUUUCAUCAUCUAGCUUGGGGAAGAGGUAGAUCGAUGUUCUGGGCGUGUGUUGGAUGCGUUGUCUGAUCUUUUUUGUGUAGUUACAUGGCAACAGGCAACGAAGGGUAGCGAGCAAGCUUCACAGUCAGCCAUUGUUCUUCUUCAGAUAGCUUCUUAGAAUGUUAGAAGCGGAUUGCUUACCAUUGUUUUUGUACUAUGGUACUUUGAUUUCUGCUGUAGGACAAGGAGAACUCGUCUGAUCUGUCGGCGAACUCUAUGCUGCCGGUGGUGCUGCUUCGAUAUAUGCCGGUGCCUGAUAGGUAAUGCCCAAUUCAGAAGAAGAACAUCAUGGCAUGGCCAGCUGUUCUGUCCACCUUCGUCCUGAAUAGGAUGUGUGAGUUCAUCAAGAAUGGGGUCCCAAAUGUAUAAGGGAUUCAGGCUGAAGGAAAUUAAAGUUGUUGCGGACGCUGUUCUCAAGUUCUAUGGGUGUGAAGUUGACCCAUCGCAGAUCUACAACCAUCUGAGACAUUGAAGAGCAAGGUGAGUUCAUGUCCUCAAGCUCAAUAGGCUUGAGGAUGUGUGCUGGGUGGAGGAGACAACUGCCAUCAUGAUGGAGGACGAUGUCUACUUUGCCCACAUCAAGGAUAACCCGAAGGACGCUGAUUUCAUCAACAAGCCCAUAGAGAACUAUGGUCAGAUAAAGAUCAUCUUCGCUGGUCGUGUUACAACAGUGCCCAUCUCUCCGACUGCGAUCCACCGUGCUCUCAGCCACCUCAUGGAGCACAAGGCACAUGCCACCAGGUAUCUUGCGAUGAGCCUGAGAGCAGGAUGAGCUAGUUUACUUCCUUCCUGAGGAAGUAUUACCUUUGAGGUGCCCGCGCAUGGGGUUCUUGUUGUGGUGCUUGUUCUGGUGAUGAUGAUGAACACCAUGAUGAUGUAUAUUUUGGGAGUAGCUAGGUUUGAUGAAAACUUAUGCCAAGUCUGUAUAUUUUGCGAGGUGGUAUGAACUUGUGUUGCAUCACGAAUAGUUGUUCGUGAACUCAUGGUGCAACACUGUGAUCCACUACUACAACUAUGUCAGUCCUGUUGAUUAUGUGCUAUAUAUUAGUCGCCGCUUGAAUUACUA